GGGUUUUCCCCCCCCCUCUGUGGAUAAUUGUCUCUAUGAAUUGGCUUUUGUUGAAUAAUCCGGUUUCCUGUAAGUAAAGUGAUCAAGAAAUUACUGGCAUUUUGAAUCAUAUUGUUGCUUAGUUUUUAUUUGUUUGCCUUCAGUGAAUAUUCUUUCAUUUAGCUGUUAAAUAUUUAUGAAGUGCAGCGUAUGGGUCUUAGAUGAUACAAGGAAGGAGUCCUUAAACGCUUCCUUAGAUAUUGAAGCGAUUGAAAUGCAAAAAUAAUGUUGUUCCCAAGGUUUGCGUUGAUAGAUUUGUUUCGUUUUAUCAAUUAAAUAAAAAUAAAACGGAGAAAGAGCAAAGUGAAAAGAGGCCCAACCACAAGGAAGC
This 370-nucleotide unclassified non-coding RNA is filed under the name Hevea brasiliensis (rubber tree). Lineage: Eukaryota; Viridiplantae; Streptophyta; Magnoliopsida; Malpighiales; Euphorbiaceae. The record is from RNAcentral.